This 495-nucleotide ribosomal RNA is filed under the name uncultured bacterium. RNAcentral describes it as "bacterial SSU rRNA". It matches the Rfam family "Bacterial small subunit ribosomal RNA", at positions 29 to 518 of the family's 1533-position model. The record is from RNAcentral.
AUGAACGCUAGCGACAGGCCUAACACAUGCAAGUCGAGGGGCGAGCACAAGGAGCAAUCUGAGGUGGCGACCGGCGCACGGGUGAGUAACACGUAUGCAACCUGCCUGUAAGCGGGGAAUAACCCGUUGAAAGACGGACUAAUACCGCAUAAUACUAAAUUACUGCAUGGUAAUUAUUUAAACAUUUAUGGCUUACAGAUGGGCAUGCGCAUGAUUAGCUAGUUGGAGAGGUAACGGCUCCCCAAGGCAACGAUCAUUAGGGGUUCUGAGAGGAAGGUCCCCCACACUGGUACUGAGACACGGACCAGGCUCCUACAGGAGGCAGCAGUGAGGAAUAUUGGUCAAUGGACGAGAGUCUGAACCAGCCAAGUCGCGUGCAGGAAGAAUGUCCCUAUGGAUUGUAAACUGCUUUUGCAGGGGAAUAAAGUGCAUCACGUGUGAUGUUUUGUAUGUACUCUGCGAAUAAGGAUCGGCUAACUCCGUGCCAGCCGCCGC